AUAUCAAUAAGCGGAGGAAAAGAAACCAACAGGGAUUGCCUUAGUAACGGCGAGCGAAGCGGCAACAGCUCAAAUUUGAAAUCUGGCUUUCUGGCCCGAGUUGUAAUUUGUAGAGGAAGUUUCGGACAAGGCUUUGGUUUAAUUUUCUUGGAACAGUAAAUCAUAGAGGGUGAGAAUCCCGUCUUGAACCGUCUGCCGCGUCCAUGUGAAACUCCUUCGACGAGUCGAGUUGUUUGGGAAUGCAGCUCAAAAUGGGUGGUAAAUUUCAUCUAAAGCUAAAUAUUGGCCAGAGACCGAUAGCGCACAAGUA
This 310-nucleotide ribosomal RNA is filed under the name uncultured Phialophora. RNAcentral's name for it is "partial large subunit ribosomal RNA". It matches the Rfam family "Eukaryotic large subunit ribosomal RNA", at positions 40 to 350 of the family's 3401-position model. The record is from RNAcentral. Lineage: Eukaryota; Fungi; Ascomycota; Leotiomycetes.